Molecule: ribosomal RNA, 497 nt
Filed under: uncultured bacterium
Lineage: Bacteria
Description: partial 16S ribosomal RNA
Rfam family: Bacterial small subunit ribosomal RNA
Source: RNAcentral
GAUGAACGCUGGCGGCGUGCCUAAUACAUGCAAGUCGAGCGAACGGACGAGAAGCUUGCUUCUCUGAUGUUAGCGGCGGACGGGUGAGUAACACGUGGAUAACCUACCUAUAAGACUGGGAUAACUUCGGGAAACCGGAACUAAUACCGGAUGAUAUUUUGAACCGCAUGGUUCAAAAGUGAAAGACGGUCUUGCUGUCACUUAUAGAUGGAUCCGCGCUGCAUUAGCUAGUUGGUAAGGUAACGGCUUACCAAGGCAACGAUGCAUAGCCGACCUGAGAGGGUGAGCGGCCACACUGGAACUGAGACACGGUCCAGACUCCUACGGGAGGCAGCAGUAGGGAAUCUUCCGCAAUGGGCGAAAGCCUGACGGAGCAACGCCGCGUGAGUGAUGAAGGUCUUCGGAUCGUAAAACUCUGUUAUUAGGGAAGAACAUAUGUGUAAGUAACUGUGCACAUCUUGACGGUACCUAAUCAGAAAGCCACGGCUAACUACGUG